Molecule: ribosomal RNA, 1241 nt
Filed under: metagenome
Description: bacterial LSU rRNA
Rfam family: Bacterial large subunit ribosomal RNA
Source: RNAcentral
UGAAUACGAGAUGCUACGGCGUCGAAGCAGUGUAUGUCAGACUUCCAAGAAAAGCUCGCAAUGUCAUAAAUAAAGAAUGCCUGUACCAUAACCGACACAGGUGGGUAGGUAGAGUAUACUAAGGGGCGCGAGAUAACUCUCUCUAAGGAACUCGGCAAAAUAACUCCGUAACUUCGGGAGAAGGAGUGCCUUCUUUAAGAAGGUUGCAAUAACAAGAUCCAAGCAACUGUAUAUCAAAAACACAGGUCUCCGCUAAGUCGUAAGACGAUGUAUGGGGGCUGACGCCUGCCCAGUGCCAGAAGGUUAAAGAAGCUGGUUAGCAAUAGCGAAGCUGGUGACUGAAGCCCUGGUGAACGGCGGCCGUAACGAUAACGGUCCUAAGGUAGCGAAAUUCCUUGUCGGGUAAGUUCCGACCCGCACGAAAGGCGUAAUGAUUUGGAUACUGUCUCGGAGAGGGACUCGGUGAAAUAGACUUGUCUGUGAAGAUGCGGACUACCUGCACCAGGACAGAAAGACCCUAUGAAGCUUUACUGUAACCUGAAAUUGAAAUUGACUUUAUUUGCGCAGUAUAGGUGGGAGGCGUUGAAAGUAAUCUUGCGGGAUUAGUGGAGCCGUCAGUGAGAUACCACUCCUAUAAUGUUAGAUUUCUAACUUUGGAUCAUGAUCUGGUCAAAGAACAGUUUCAGGCGGGCAGUUUGACUGGGGCGGUCGCCUCCCAAAUGGUAACGGAGGCGUACAAAGGUUUCCUCUGAACGGGUAGAAAUCGUAUCUAGAGUGUAAAGGCAUAAGGAAGCUUGACUGUGAGACCUACAAGUCGAGCAGGGACGAAAGUCGGUCUUAGUGAUCUGACGGUGCUGAGUGGAAAGGCCGUCACUCAACGGAUAAAAGUUACUCUAGGAUAACAGGCUGAUCUCCCCCAAGAGUUCACAUCGACGGGGAGGCUUGGCACCUCGAUGUCGGCUCAUCGCAUCCUGGGGCGGUAGUACGUCCCAAGGGUUGGGCUGUUCGCCCAUGAAAGCGGUACGCGAGCUGGGUUCAGAACGUCGUGAGACAGUUCGGUCCAUAUCCGGUGUAGGCGUUAGAAUAUUGAGAGGAGCCUUCUCUAGUACGAGAGGACCGAGAAGGACAUACCUCUGGUGUACCAGUUAUCGUGCCAACGGUAAACGCUGGGUAGCUAUGUAUGGAGAGGAUAACCGCUGAAAGCAUCUAAGUGGGAAGCCCACCUCAAGAUGAGUAUUCCC